AUCCUAGCUUGCUAGGAGGCGUCGAGCGGCGGACGGGUGAGUAACACGUGAGAAUCUGCCCAUUAGAGGGGGAUAACCUGGGGAAACCCAGGCUAAUACCGCAUAAUCCCUACGGGGGAAAGCAGGGGAUCUUCGGACCUUGUGCUGAUGGAUGAGCUCGCGUCGGAUUAGCUUGUUGGUGAGGUAAUGGCUCACCAAGGCGACGAUCCGUAGCUGGUCUUAGAGGAUGAUCAGCCACACCGGGACUGAGACACGGCCCGGACUCCUACGGGAGGCAGCAGUGGGGAAUCUUGGACAAUGGGGGCAACCCUGAUCCAGCCAUGCCGCGUGUGUGAAGAAGGCCUUCGGGUUGUAAAGCACUUUCAGUAGGGAGGAAGGCUUAUCCUUAAUACGGAUGAGUACUUGACGUUACCUACAGAAGAAGCACCGGCUAAUUUCGUGCCAGCAGCCGCGGUAAUACGAAAGGUGCGAGCGUUAAUCGGAAUUACUGGGCGUAAAGCGCGCGUAGGCGGUUUGCUAAGUCAGAUGUGAAAGCCCCGGGCUCAACCUGGGAACUGCAUUUGAAACUGGCAGGCUAUAAUG
RNAcentral lists this ribosomal RNA (582 nucleotides) under Alcanivorax borkumensis. RNAcentral describes it as "bacterial SSU rRNA". It matches the Rfam family "Bacterial small subunit ribosomal RNA", at positions 72 to 648 of the family's 1533-position model. The record is from RNAcentral. Lineage: Bacteria; Pseudomonadati; Pseudomonadota; Gammaproteobacteria; Oceanospirillales; Alcanivoracaceae.